Molecule: RNA transcript, 1572 nt
Organism: Triticum aestivum (bread wheat)
Lineage: Eukaryota; Viridiplantae; Streptophyta; Magnoliopsida; Poales; Poaceae
Exons: 4
Source: RefSeq, a predicted model, not a curated record
CGGUGCCAUGGGCUGGGUGCUACCUUUGUACAUGGGCCUCCCCCAUGGGUGCGUGAUGCGGGGACAUGAUGUGCCUCCUGGGCUAAUGUUACAGAUCGAUUUGCAUUUACCUCGUUAGAGUUAGACCUGUCAUCACCUUCUUCCUGGCGCACUGGACAUGGGACGGGGCCCCAUGGAUGGGAUGGAGUUCUUCUUCGAAGAUGACGAUUCGGGGGCGGAUGCAGGGUCUAUCUUACAAGGGGAAGUAGCUGCAGUGGAAUUGGCUGUUGCUUCUAUUCAUGGGGCUCGCACACGCAAUGGAGAUUAGAUUUCUUCCCAUGCAAACAGUGAAGGAAUGGAGUCCGGAGAGAACGGAGGAGGACGGCACCCAGAAGAGACAAUCAUGACAGAGGAGAUUAUCGAUUCAUACAUCUGUGGUAGCGAGGUGGUGGCCGAUUCAAUGUCCCUUGAAAAUAUGAGCGGCCAAAGAAGAUGAGAUGCAGAGGGAGUGGUCGUCUCAAAAUCACAGGGCUCCUACUGGACACGAAAGGAAGUUUACUUGUGAUCUAAUCUAUUAUUUUGUGACUCUGUAUAAUGGUAGCACAUAAUGGAGUAAACGAGUCUUCAUGUGAAAUUGACAAGUGAUUAUGACAUGCAAAGCAUCAGAUAUCUUCAUUUUUCUGGUUCAGGAUCCCAUGUGUGAUUCAACAAUUAAUUGGUGUCCAUGUUAAAAUUUGCAGAAUUAGGAUCAGUUAGGAUGCAGAUGAGAGGGAGAACAAUCCCAACAGAGUGCCUCCUGCGCUUGAGGCUUCGAUACAUUCUUAUGCUGAUAACAAGGCAGGUACUGUUGUUAAUCCAGCUAGCUUCGCUUCCGUCGAAGAAGUAUAUGAGUUUUACAACUUGUACUCUUUGGGAGACUGACUUUGGUGUCCGGUAUGCAAAGAGCCAGACUCAAUGUCCAUGGGAUAAAGUGCAUGCAUGCGCGGGUAAACCACUGCAGUCCAAUAGCAGAUCAAAACGGUGUGGCUGCACUGCUAUGAUGUGGCUACUGAGAUCGGAUGAUAACGGUUCGUACGGGUGCGAGCAUAGGUCAGAAAUGAUCAUGAACUCUCUGUUAACUGUAUGGAGAAGUUACAUUUUUUUUUUGCGUGGAAAUGGAGAAGUUACAUUGAAAGUCGCAUCGACACAUGUACACCGGGGACAUGGUAAAAGAACAAAGAAUGAAAGCACAUGCAAAGUUUACAGCAUCGUGGCCAGUUUUUUUGGUGUCAGUGAAGGAGGAUUGCGUCGCUGUGGGUCAUGAUCUUGAAGAGGGUUGCGGCCACUUCGACCCCUUGUUGGCGUUAAUCCCACCGAGCCAUGCAGCAAGUUAUGAAUCAGAGCACAUGUUCGACGAUAUUUGACGGCGCUGCGGCAACUGAUGGUGCAUGCUCUGAAGACGAAGAAGUCACGAACAAGCCUGCCAAAAAAGCCAGGAUAGUUUGACCGCCUAGUGUAGAUUUUAGAGCAGGAUUGGUUAGCCCUGUUUCAUAUCUUGUGCACGAUAUACUGGUGUGUGACUUGUCCUAGUAAUUGCCUAUGUAAUUGCGUUUA